RNAcentral lists this unclassified non-coding RNA (336 nucleotides) under soil metagenome. RNAcentral's name for it is "partial contains small subunit ribosomal RNA, internal transcribed spacer 1, and 5.8S ribosomal RNA". The record is from RNAcentral.
UUGCCGUAGGUGAACCUUCGGCAGGAUCAUUAACACUGAUCUACUAUUCAAACCCGCGGCGAGCAGGCAGCGACGUGCGCUCUCGAGCGCACGCACGCACCUGCUCGCCGCACUUUCUUUUCUUACGUAAAACCACACGUGGGCGCGCGCGCGCGCGCGGCGUUGCUGUUUGCGCCGUCGUCGCCGCCGCCACACGGCAGUGCUUUACCAGUACCUACAUGUGCGUGUGUGUGCGCGUGCGCAGUUCGUCGCCGCGACAACGCAGCUGGCGUCUGCCCCGCCACACCACCACUUUAAUACACAAAACAACUCUUAACAAUGGAUACCUUGGCUCUU